GAUGAACGCUGGCGGCGUGCCUAACACAUGCAAGUCGAGCGGUGUUGUUUAGCUUGCUAAACAAUAUAGCGGCGGACGGGUGAGUAACGCGUGGGUAACCUGCCUUAUACAGGGGAAUAACAAUGAGAAAUCAUUGCUAAAACCGCAUAAGCUUACAGUAUGGCAUCAUACAGUAAGAAAAUAUUAAUAGGUAUAAGAGGGGCCCGCGACUGAUUAGCUAGUUGGUAGGGUAAAAGCCAACCAAGGCGACGAUCAGUAGCCGACCUGAGAGGGUGAUCGGCCACAUUGGGACUGAGACACGGCCCAAACUCCUACGGGAGGCAGCAGUGGGGAAUAUUGCACAAUGGGGGAAACCCUGAUGCAGCAACGCCGCGUGAAGGAAGAAGGUCUUCGGAUUGUAAACUUCUAUCGAUGGAGAAGAAAGAAAUGACGGUAUCCAAAUAAGAAGCCCCGGCUAACUACGUGCCAGCCGCCGCCGUAAGAC
This 484-nucleotide ribosomal RNA is filed under the name uncultured bacterium. Its description in RNAcentral is "bacterial SSU rRNA". It matches the Rfam family "Bacterial small subunit ribosomal RNA", at positions 28 to 526 of the family's 1533-position model. The record is from RNAcentral.